UUCAUAUGCAUUGAUGGAUUUCGUAAAUACAGAUAGUUUACUGGAAUUCUGUACAGUCAGCUUCAAUCUUCUGAAAAAAAAUAGAUUGUUCUUACUACCCUUUUGGAUGAGUGUGGGAGGUGGUUUUUCAGAAUAAUUUUGGGGAUCGUUAAUGUGGUUUUCAAGAUGCCUUGGAGAGAGCGCAAGGUCAGUUUCCUGUAAGGAGUCGUCGGAGACGACACUGUCAGGGCUGUCGGCGGGAUAUCCGG
RNAcentral lists this long non-coding RNA (248 nucleotides) under Manihot esculenta (cassava). Its description in RNAcentral is "long non-coding RNA (MESC_LNC002406)". Lineage: Eukaryota; Viridiplantae; Streptophyta; Magnoliopsida; Malpighiales; Euphorbiaceae. The record is from RNAcentral.